RNAcentral lists this non-coding RNA (22 nucleotides) under Arabidopsis thaliana (thale cress). Lineage: Eukaryota; Viridiplantae; Streptophyta; Magnoliopsida; Brassicales; Brassicaceae. The record is from RNAcentral.
GCUCGGGGGUCCCAGUUCCGAA